Vicia faba (fava bean) is the source of this 225-nucleotide non-coding RNA. The record is from the annotation of a GenBank genome assembly. Lineage: Eukaryota; Viridiplantae; Streptophyta; Magnoliopsida; Fabales; Fabaceae.
AUGGCAAACAAGAGUACCUUCGAAAGUUCUAGUAUUUGGUUGGAUGUGCUUCUAAAACAGGUUGCUGACCAGAGAUCAGUUAUGCAAUUUUCGGGUUUAUUUACUUUGAACCAAAAUAAGUGCAAAUGGGCUUCAGAUGUCUGGCAGAAAGUAUUAGUGUGGCUAGAAUUCAAGCAAGUUGAUUGGAUGGUGGGAUUAGGACACCUACUAUGGUUUCUCCGGUAG